ACGGGAGGUAGCAGUGGGGAAUAUUGCACAAUGGGCGAAAGCCUGAUGCAGCGACGCCGCGUGAGCGAAGAAGUAUUUCGGUAUGUAAAGCUCUAUCAGCAGGGAAGAUAAUGACGGUACCUGACUAAGAAGCACCGGCUAAAUACGUGCCAGCAGCCGCGGUAAUACGUAUGGUGCAAGCGUUAUCCGGAUUUACUGGGUGUAAAGGAAGCGUAGGCGGUUUUACAAGUCUGAUGUGAAAGCCCGGGGCUCAACUCCGGUAUUGCAUUGGAAACUGUAGAACUAGAGUGUCGGAGGGGUAAGUGGAAUUCCUAGUGUAGCGGUGAAAUGCGUAGAUAUUAGGAGGAACACCAGUGGCGAAGGCGGCUUACUGGACGAUUACUGACGCUGAGGCUCGAAAGCGUGGGGAGCAAACAGGAUUAGAUACCCUGGUA
This 434-nucleotide ribosomal RNA is filed under the name uncultured Pseudobutyrivibrio sp. RNAcentral's name for it is "partial 16S ribosomal RNA". It matches the Rfam family "Bacterial small subunit ribosomal RNA", at positions 341 to 792 of the family's 1533-position model. The record is from RNAcentral. Lineage: Bacteria; Bacillati; Bacillota; Clostridia; Lachnospirales; Lachnospiraceae.